RNAcentral lists this ribosomal RNA (303 nucleotides) under uncultured bacterium. Its description in RNAcentral is "partial 16S ribosomal RNA". It matches the Rfam family "Bacterial small subunit ribosomal RNA", at positions 507 to 807 of the family's 1533-position model. The record is from RNAcentral.
AGCAGCCGCCGCGGGAAUACGGAAGGUCCAGGCGUUAUCCGGAUUUAUUGGGUUUAAAGGGAGCGUAGGCUGGAGAUUAAGUGUGUUGUGAAAUGUAGACGCUCAACGUCUGACUUGCAGCGCAUACUGGUUUCCUUGAGUACGCACAACGUUGGCGGAAUUCGUCGUGUAGCGGUGAAAUGCUUAGAUAUGACGAAGAACUCCGAUUGCGAAGGCAGCUGACGGGAGCGCAACUGACGCUUAAGCUCGAAGGUGCGGGUAUCAAACAGGAUUAGAUACCCGCGUAGUCCCUGUCUCUUAUAC